UACGUAGGGGGCAAGCGUUGUCCGGAAUCAUUGGGCGUAAAGCGCGUGUAGGCGGCCCGGUAAGUCCGCUGUGAAAGUCGGGGGCUCAACCCUCGAAUGCCGGUGGAUACUGUCGGGCUAGAGUGCGGGAGAGGCGAGUGGAAUUCCUGGUGUAGCGGUGAAAUGCGCAGAUAUCAGGAGGAACACCAAUUGCGAAGGCAGCUCGCUGGAACGUAACUGACGCUGGAGACGCGAAAGCGUGGGGAGCAAACAGG
This 254-nucleotide ribosomal RNA is filed under the name uncultured bacterium. Its description in RNAcentral is "partial 16S ribosomal RNA". It matches the Rfam family "Bacterial small subunit ribosomal RNA", at positions 524 to 776 of the family's 1533-position model. The record is from RNAcentral.